This 89-nucleotide transfer RNA is filed under the name Deltaproteobacteria bacterium. Its description in RNAcentral is "tRNA-Ser". It matches the Rfam family "tRNA". From Rfam's summary of the family: Transfer RNA (tRNA) molecules are approximately 80 nucleotides in length. The record is from RNAcentral. Lineage: Bacteria; Pseudomonadati; Myxococcota; Myxococcia.
GGAGAGGUACCGAAGCGGUCAUAACGGGGACGACUCGAAAUCGUCUUGGCUCUUUAUGAGCCACGUGGGUUCGAAUCCCACCCUCUCCG